This 411-nucleotide long non-coding RNA is filed under the name Bos taurus (domestic cattle). RNAcentral describes it as "long non-coding RNA NONBTAT023251". Lineage: Eukaryota; Metazoa; Chordata; Mammalia; Artiodactyla; Bovidae. The record is from RNAcentral.
AACCCCCUCCUUCCAUUGUGAUGUCUCAGCCUCAGUGGCCCACUUCCCCCCUCCUCUGGCCUUUUCCCCUGAAAUUGUUAAGGUGACUGCUGGGCAGACGUGAUGUCCUCUCAGUGACCACACAGUGCAUCCUAAGCCGAGACUACUGUGUGCUUCAUGAAAGAAGAAAUUUGACCAGCUCGGAAACACUUGACCAAUGUUCCAGCUUCCAAAGCUUAAUAGAAACAUAUGGCUACCCAUCGCUGGAAGGUUAUCUCAACUGGCCUUUGAAGGGUUAUUUUGAAGACAUUUUUGGGAAGAAAAGCUGCAUAAAAAUGUGAAGCACAAUUGGAUUUUUGCCCUUGGGAGAGUUUCCUUAACAAAAUGGUUUUGUUUUAGAGCACUUCCUCCAAAUACAUUCCUAUCCCCAGG